ACCACCACAGCUGCAACACCACCAAAACUCUCUCUCGACAGCCAAAUCAGUCCAUAAAAAAGGACAUCAUGAGCCUUCUGCUUCUCUUUCUGGCUAUUCCAGUCACAGAAUACUGGACCAAAAAGAUUACUAAUUGAGUCAACAUGGCAUUUCCUACAUUACUGUGUAUGUGAAUACAGGCAUAUUAAAUUAAAAAACCAAACAAAUCUGGGUUUAAUACUAUGACCAAUAACAAGGACUUCAGUUGUAGUAUAGGAGCACAUAGACUGGAGACAUCUGAGAAAAAGGGAGACCUGGGUGUGCUGGUUGAUCAUAGGAUGACCAUGAGCUGCCAGUGCAAUGCAGCAGUGGGGUACAAAAAAAAAACUAAUGCAAUUCUAGGUUGUACUAGGCAGGAUAUGUGCAGUAGAGACAAGGAGAAUAUUAGUAGCAUUGUAUACUGUGUGACCCCAUUUAGAAUCCUGUAUGCAGUUCUGGUCACCAGUUCAGGAAAGAUGAACUAAAACUGAAAUGAAUUCAAUGAAGGGCCUCUAAGAUGGUUAAAGGAAUGAAAACAUUUUCUUAAGAAAGAUUAAAGGAGCCUGGCCUUUCUCAUACAGCUAAAUGGAGAUUCAGAGGGAUAUGGUCAUAUUUUACAAAUGCAUUCAUGGGUGAAUAUUUAGGCAAGAAAAGCAUUUUUCAGGCUGAAAAUAGGCCCAACACAAAAAUCAAAUGACUACAGACUAGCUAUGAAUACAUUUAAACUGGAAAUUAAAAGAUUUCUAAAUAUCAGAAAAAUCAAGUUUGAAAUGGUGUUCCAAGCCCACAGGUAGUAGGCAAAAACCUGAUUUGCUUUAAGAUGAAACUGGAUACGUUUAUGGAAAGGAUGGUGUGAGAAGACAGGGAGUUAUGGCUGAACAACCUGGGUGUUUGUGGUCCCCCAGGCUGGGACAAAUACCUUAUAGUGUGGGAAGUGUCUUGCAAACUCAUUCCUCAGGACUUCUGCAGGUCACCCAUUGGGACCAGGAAAACUUUUUCACCUCAUGAAUGCUAUCGACUUCUGGGUUUUGGGGGUUAUUAUUUAUCUUUUGCUGAGGCACUGGAAUAUUGGCCACAGUUAAAUCUGGUGUUUUUUGACUGGGGUGCACUGAUGAUCCCACUGGCACUUAGAAAACCAGAGGCUACCUGGGUAGAGGGCCUUGUUCUGCUCAGGCUCAUAUCACUCAAAUUUGAGGUCAUGAGAGAAUUUUCCCCCUAGGUCAGAUUGGCAAGGACUGUGAGGUUUUUUGCCUUUCCUGUAGCAUAAGGCAAAUCAUUGCCUAG
Gavialis gangeticus (Gharial) is the source of this 1302-nucleotide long non-coding RNA. RefSeq lists it as uncharacterized. NCBI's taxonomy places the organism in Eukaryota, Metazoa, Chordata, Crocodylia, Gavialidae. The transcript has 3 exons. The record is from RefSeq and is a predicted model, not a curated record.